CCUCGGCACUGAGCUGAGACGCGCUGAGCAGUUUGCUCUCCUUUUUCCACUUCAUGCGUCGGUUCUGGAACCAUAUCUUGAUCUGCCUCUCCGUCAGGCACAGGGCGUGCGCGAUCUCGAUGCGCCGCCGCCGCGUCAGCCGUUUCCUCUCCCUCGCCGGCCUCGGCGGAGAUUCCAGGCCCUAUAGAAACCAGGACGUCCCUUAGCGCCACCGCCUCACAUGCCAGUGCUGCCGGGAACCCAGCGAUAUCCGCACCAGCGGAGAAGGUUCCAGGCUGCCGGCGGCGGCGCAGAGAGCGGGAAGAGAGGCUCGGAGGAAGCCCCGGGCGUGGCGUGGUCAGGCUCCGAGAGCGGCCGGGAUGCGGCCACACCGGCCUGGUAAACUCGCACCUCUUAGGAUCUUGCUCCCGGACUCAUUCCCUUCCCCACCCCCUAUUUUAAAGUUUUAUUUGGGUCGUCUGUAUCAAUUUAGAACGAGAUAAAUUAAGACAAAGAAAGUAAAAUAAAUCGAAAUAAAAUAUA
Homo sapiens (human) is the source of this 522-nucleotide long non-coding RNA. Ensembl annotates it as HOXB cluster antisense RNA 3. Its record names the gene HOXB-AS3. The record is from Ensembl. NCBI's taxonomy places the organism in Eukaryota, Metazoa, Chordata, Mammalia, Primates, Hominidae.